RNAcentral lists this long non-coding RNA (2009 nucleotides) under Salmo salar (Atlantic salmon). RNAcentral describes it as "lncRNA (ENSSSAG00000121610.1)". The record is from RNAcentral. Lineage: Eukaryota; Metazoa; Chordata; Actinopteri; Salmoniformes; Salmonidae.
AUAUAGAAUACUCUACCUGGAUAACAUCCCUGACAGGAUAUAGAAUACACAAUGCAUCUGACACAGAUUUAACUACGUGGACAACAUUACUGACAGAGAUUUAAACCAGGUGGACAACACUGUGUCUGAUAUGGACAGGAGACACCAGCACUGCUCUGAUGACCUGCAGAGAAGAGAGGACACAAACAGACAGAGAUUUAAACCAGGUGGACAACACUGUGUCUGAUAUGGACAGGAGACACCAGCACUGCUCUGAUGACCUGCAGAGAAGAGAGGACACAAACAGACAGAGAUUUAAACCAGGUGGACAACACUGUGUCUGAUAUGGACAGGAGAAAGCAGCACUGCUCUGAUGACCUGCAGAGAGGACAGGAGACAAAGAGACAGAUGUACAGAAGACGUUACUUGAAUCGUCUUCCACAUACACGUGAAUAAUGUAUAGUCAUUUGUAAACCCACUGAUCUUGGUGCCCUUUGCUUAAUGUAUUCAACAUGACCCCGGGACAACUUACUCCUUCUAAGGCUGAGAAACAGGUGUGUGAAAAUAUAUGACAGAUAAUGACAACAAUACGACGGGGGGUUUUCUGUAUGCAGACAUUGAAUAAUAUCAUGUUCUGUAUAGAUAUGACAACAAUACGACGGGGGUUUUCUGUAUGCAGACAUUGAAUAAUAUAAUGUUCUGUAUAGAUAUGACAACAAUACGACGGGGGUUUUCUGUAUGCAGACAUUGAAUAAUAUCAUGUUCUGUAUAGAUAUGACAACAAUACGACGGGGGUUUUCUGUAUGCAGAUAUUGAAUAAUAUCAUGUUCUGUAUAGAUAUGACAACAAUACGACGGGGGGUUUUCUGUAUGCAGACAUUGAAUAAUAUCGUGUUCUGUAUAGAUAUGACAACAAUACGACGGGGGUUUUCUGUAUGCAGACAUUGAAUAAUAUCGUGUUCUGUAUAGAUAUGACAACAAUACGACGGGGGUUUUCUGUAUGCAGACAUUGACUAAUAUAAUGUUCUGUAUAGAUAUGACAACAAUACGACGGGGGUUUUCUGUAUGCAGACAUUGAAUAAUAUAAUGUUCUGUAUAGAUAUGACAACAAUACGACGGAGGGUUUUCUGUAUGCAGACAUUGACUAAUAUCAUGUUCUGUAUAGAUAUGACAACAAUACGACGGAGGGUUUUCUGUAUGCAGACAUUGACUAAUAUAAUGUUCUGUAUAGAUAUGACAACAAUACGACGGGGGGUUUUCUGUAUGCAGACAUUGAAUAAUAUCAUGUUCUGUAUAGAUAUGACAACAAUACGACGGGGGUUUUCUGUAUGCAGACAUUGAAUAAUAUCAUGUUCUGUAUAGAUAUGACAACAAUACGACGGGGGGUUUUCUGUAUGCAGACAUUGAAUAAUAUAAUGUUCUGUAUAGAUAUGACAACAAUACGACGGGGGUUUUCUGUAUGCAGACAUUGAAUAAUAUAAUGUUCUGUAUAGAUAUGACAACAAUACGACGGGGGUUUUCUGUAUGCAGACAUUGAAUAAUAUCAUGUUCUAUACCAAAACAUAUUCUUGAAAACAAGUACAGCAUGUAAACCAGAAAUAAAGGCAGAUCAUAGUUUUAAUUCUGUGUCAACAAACUGUUCUAAAAAUAUGUAUCUUGUUCUUCUCGGCUCUGUUGGCUGGUGGAGUUGCUUCAUUGUUAAAUCUAUAUUUUUUUUAAAGGUAUGAUAAAUAUAUAUAUAUAUGUUUUAUAUGAAAAAGGGAUUGGUUUAAAACUGGAGAUUUUAUUUGAUAGAUUUAUAACAUUCAAUUAUGUUUGUUUUUUUUUACAUUUCUUUUAUGUUGAUAAAAUGUUUUGCCUUGAUGAGAACAUGGCAGGCAGGUAGAGGGUGACUAAAAACAAAAUGGCUUCCUUUCAAAACAAUCCCGUUCCGUGUUCACGUGCUAAUCGGAACUUGGACAUUUCAGACAUGCUAACUGGUUGUGGUUACACACGCGCCCGCGUUCAACCAGUUAGAAAGUCUGAAUUUCC